Molecule: ribosomal RNA, 449 nt
Filed under: uncultured bacterium
Lineage: Bacteria
Description: partial 16S ribosomal RNA
Rfam family: Bacterial small subunit ribosomal RNA
Source: RNAcentral
AGCGAACGCUGGCGGCAGGCCUAACACAUGCAAGUCGAACGGAUCCUUCGGGAUUAGUGGCGGACGGGUGAGUAACACGUGGGAACGUGCCCUUUGGUUCGGAACAACUCAGGGAAACUUGAGCUAUUACCGGAUGUGCCCUUCGGGGGAAAGAUUUAUCGCCCUUGGAGCGGUCCGCUUCUGAGUAGCUCGUUGGUGAGGUAAAGGCUCACCAAGGCGACUAUCAGUAGCUGGUCUGGGAGGAUGAUCAGACACAGUGGAACUGAGACACGGCCAAAACUACGACGGGGAGCCGCCGUGGGGAAUGUUGCGCAAUCGGCUAAAGCCUGAUGCAGCCCUGCCGCGCGUAUGAUGAAGAUCUUAAGAUUGUAAAAUUCUUUCACCGGUGGAUGUAAUGGCGAUACCCGGUGAAGAAGCCCCGGCUAAGUGCGUGCCAGCCGCCGCAGUAA